GACGAACGCUGGCGGCGUGCUUAACACAUGCAAGUCGAACGGAAAGGCCCUGCUUUUGUGGGGUGCUCGAGUGGCGAACGGGUGAGUAACACGUGAGUAACCUGCCCUUGACUUUGGGAUAACUUCAGGAAACUGGGGCUAAUACCGGAUAGGAGCUCCUGCUGCAUGGUGGGGGUGGGAAAGUUUCGGCGGUUGGGGAUGGACUCGCGGCUUAUCAGCUUGUUGGUGGGGUAGUGGCUUACCAAGGCUUUGACGGGUAGCCGGCCUGAGAGGGUGACCGGCCACAUUGGGACUGAGAUACGGCCCAGACUCCUACGGGAGGCAGCAGUGGGGAAUAUUGCACAAUGGGCGGAAGCCUGAUGCAGCAACGCCGCGUGCGGGAUGACGGCCUUCGGGUUGUAAACCGCUUUCGCCUGUAACGAAGCGUGAGUGACGGUAAUGGGUAAAGAAGCACCGGCUAACUACGUG
This 468-nucleotide ribosomal RNA is filed under the name uncultured bacterium. Its description in RNAcentral is "partial 16S ribosomal RNA". It matches the Rfam family "Bacterial small subunit ribosomal RNA", at positions 28 to 507 of the family's 1533-position model. The record is from RNAcentral.